UACAUCCUCAGCCUCGGAUGCUCCUUGA
Molecule: small RNA, 28 nt
Filed under: Bombyx mori (domestic silkworm)
Lineage: Eukaryota; Metazoa; Arthropoda; Insecta; Lepidoptera; Bombycidae
Description: piRNA piR-bmo-2224930
Source: RNAcentral